Molecule: ribosomal RNA, 460 nt
Filed under: uncultured bacterium
Lineage: Bacteria
Description: partial 16S ribosomal RNA
Rfam family: Bacterial small subunit ribosomal RNA
Source: RNAcentral
CCUACGGGCGGCAGCAGUGAGGAAUAUUGGUCAAUGGACGAGAGUCUGAACCAGCCAAGUAGCGUGAAGGAUGACUGCCCUAUGGGUUGUAAACUUCUUUUAUAAAGGAAUAAAACGAGGCACGUGUGCCUUUUUGCAUGUACUUUAUGAAUAAGGAUCGGCUAACUCCGUGCCAGCAGCCGCGGUAAUACGGAGGAUCCGAGCGUUAUCCGGAUUUAUUGGGUUUAAAGGGAGCGUAGAUGGGUUGUUAAGUCAGUUGUGAAAGUUUGCGGCUCAACCGUAAAAUUGCAAUUGAUACUGGCAGUCGUGAGGACAGUUGAGGUAGGCGGAAUUCGUGGUGUAGCGGUGAAAUGCUUAGAUAUCACGAAGAACCCCGAUUGCGAAGGCAGCUUACUAAACUGUGACUGACAUUGAUGCUCGAAAGUGUGGGUAUCAAACAGGAUUAGAUACCCCUGUAGUC